UAUCGCGCGAUCGCCUUGAGUUGAUCAUGGCUCAGAACGAACGCUGGCGGCGCGCCUAACACAUGCAAGUCGAACGAGAAGCCGUCGCAAGACGGUUGUAAAGUGGCAAACGGGUGAGUAAUGCAUGGGUAACCUACCCUCUGGUGGGGGAUAACUCCCCGAAAGGGGUGCUAAUACCGACGAUACGUACCGGCCUCGCAAGGGGCUGGUGGAAAGCCGAGCCGAGGGUUCGGCGCCGGAGGAUGGGCUCAUGUCCUAUCAGCUUGUUGGCGGGGUAAUGGCCCACCAAGGCUGCGACGGGUAGCUGGUCUGAGAGGACGACCAGCCACACUGGCACUGCGACACGGGCCAGACUCCUACGGGAGGCAGCAGUGAGGAAUAUUGCGCAAUGGACGACAGUCUGACGCAGCGACGCCGCGUGGGGGAUGAAGGCCUUCGGGUUGUAAACCCCUUUCAGGAGGGAAGAUGGGACGGGCAACCGUUCGGACGGUACCUCCAGAAGCAGCCACGGCUAACUCUGUGCCAGCAGCCGCGGUAAGACAGAGGUGGCAAGCGUUGUUCGGAUUUACUGGGCGUAAAGGGUGCGUAGGUGGUUAGGUAAGACCUGUGGGAAAGACCUGGGCUUAACCCAGGAAGGUCGCAGGUGACUGCCUAGCUAGAGGACGGGAGAGGAGCGCGGAAUUCCCGGUGUAGCGGUGAAAUGCGUAGAGAUCGGGAGGAANGCCGGUGGCGAAGGCGGCGCUCUGGAACGUUC
This 754-nucleotide ribosomal RNA is filed under the name uncultured bacterium. RNAcentral describes it as "bacterial SSU rRNA". It matches the Rfam family "Bacterial small subunit ribosomal RNA", at positions 1 to 739 of the family's 1533-position model. The record is from RNAcentral.